Molecule: non-coding RNA, 377 nt
Organism: Phormidium tenue NIES-30
Lineage: Bacteria; Bacillati; Cyanobacteriota; Cyanophyceae; Oscillatoriales; Oscillatoriaceae
Rfam family: Bacterial RNase P class A
About the family: Ribonuclease P (RNase P) is a ubiquitous endoribonuclease, found in archaea, bacteria and eukarya as well as chloroplasts and mitochondria. Its best characterised activity is the generation of mature 5'-ends of tRNAs by cleaving the 5'-leader elements of precursor-tRNAs.
Source: Rfam
GGAGGUAGCGCAGGUGGUUGCGGAUUGGCGAUCGCCAGUCUGAGGAAAGUCCGGGCUCCCGAAAGACCAGACUUGCUGGGUAACGCCCAGUGCGGGCAACCGUGAGGAGAGUGCCACAGAAACAUACCGCCGAUGGCUUCGGGAUUUUUUUCAGGAGCACAGGUAAGGGUGCAAGGGUGCGGUAAGAGCGCACCAGCAGCAUCGAGAGGUGCUGGCUCGGUAAACCCCGGUCGGGUGCAAGGUCGAGGGGCAAGGUUGGUCUUUUUCCAGCCCCGCUGUUACGUACCGCAAGAGGCGUUUGGCAACAGGCGUCCCAGAUAGAUAACCGCCCCCCUGGCAACAGGGGAACAGAACCCGGCUUAUGUCUACCUCCCUCC